UUCUUAUAUUUUAUUAUCUAUUCCGUACGUUUUUUGAAAGCCUACUCCUUCAAAACCAUUCAACUUAGAAAAACUAUUCAAACACCAUUAGAUUCCUAUUCUUUUGGACAUGAUUGCUUGUAUUUUUCUCAUUUUUAACAUUUAUAUUUUUAAUUUUAUUCAACUUUAUUCAACAAAAAUUUCCCAUGUAUUUCAAUGGGGAGACCCUUCAAAUUCUCAUUCAACUUACUCAUUUUUAAACUCUUACUACUUCCACAUACAUUGACAUAGAGCCACCAUUCAAACUUUAAAACGAAGACAAGACAUUCAAUUAUUCAACUUGUAUUUAUCUUUUCAAUAUCUAUUAUACUUUUUCUUCAGUUCCAGUUUAAGUUUCAUGAUGUUUUUUCACCCGUUUCAGAGUUUAUAAUGGGUGUGUAUGGGACGGAAUGUUGGGGCUAGAGUGAGGCAGCUCAACUGCUAGAGUGAGAGGAGCAAAAAAAUUAAUCUUAAAAUCUUUUUUAAAACUGCUGCUGUGUCCGCAGCGUUUGCUCUACAGGUAUGAUUUUACCCUCAAAACGUAGCCAUGGCUGUCCUCUUUCAUCCAAUGUGUUUACUAUUGUCCUAGGUGUUAUGGUUCUUUCAUAAAUGUCACCAAUGCACAGCCUCCUCCCUCCAACUCUUCCAUAGACUGUAAUGUUAAAAUGGCUCAGAAGGUUCGUUUGAAAAUCAGAAGAGCAUGGUGUCUUUCCACUGUCACCACGUCCAUAUAAUAAGCUCCACAGGCAUGAAAACUGAGAAUUAGGUAGACUAGACAUUGCUGUCGCUCACGGUGAAAGAAUUUUGUCAAUACGACUUUUACUUUUCAUUUGGGAGCGAUUUGUUUCGGCCUGACUUUUCUGUUCAUUUUAAGCAGCAAAAGUGAGGUGCAUGUCUGUGUACGUGUGUAUGGAGCCAUUGGGUGCAGUCACUAUAGCAACCAGGCUCACACCUGCCUGCUUAACGAGCUCUGCCUGCCACUGUACCAAGAUUCAUCUUAAACACUUCUCUUUCAACUGCUGCUGUGUCCACAGUGUUACAGCCAUCAUUUUACCCUCAAAUUGUCGCCAUUAUUGUUCUCUUUCCAACACCGUGUCUUUCAAAGCUCAGGCAUUUAAACUUUUUAAACUGUGUGGAUCAAAGUGGAGGGAUCACAUUUUAGUCAUUCAGUGAUUCAAAGAAUAUGACCUUUUAAUAUUCAUUCAGAUGUUUUCUGACUCUAAAUGUUCUUUUCUCAUUUCUUAGGUUUUUCUAAUUUACAAUUAAAACAUUUUCAGCUUUUUUCCAACUUCUUCUUCUGUGUAACCUUCAGCUUUUAGCAGUUCAGCACCUUUGUUUUCAGGUUAAAUUCAUUUUUUUUUUUUGUUUUUUUUUUAAUCUCAUUCAAUAUUUUUAACUCAAAAUUCAGCAAUUAAUUCAUUUCAGUGCAUACAUUCAGAUUCAAGCAUUCACACUGCAGUUUCUUCAGAAAAUGCACUUUCUAGUUAUUAUAUUUUAUUAUUUUUCCGUACGUUUUUUGAAAGCCUACUCCUUCAAAACCGUUCAACUUAGAAAAACCAUUCAAACAUCGUUAGAUUCCUAUUCUUUUGGACAACAUUGCUUCUAUUUUUCUUAUUUUUAACAUUUAUAUUUUUAAUUUUAUUCAACUUUAUUCAACAAAAAUUUAUAAUGUAUUUCAAUGGGGAAACCCUUCAAAUCCUCAUUCAACUUACUCAUUUUUAAACUCUUACUACUUCCACAUACAUUGACAUAAAGCCACCAUUCAAACUUUAAAACGAAGACAAGACAUUCAACUAUUCAACUUGUAUUUAUCUUUUCAAUAUCUAUUAUACUUUUUCUUCAGUUCCAGUUUAAGUUUCAUGAUGUUUUUUCACCCGUUUCAGAGUUUAUAAUGGGUGUGUAUGGGACGGAAUGUUGGGGCUAGAGUGAGGCAGCUCAACUGCUAGAGUGAGAGGAGCAAAAAAAUUAAUCUUAAAAUCUUUUUUAAAACUGCUGCUGUGUCCGCAGCGUUUGCUCUACAGGUAUGAUUUUACCCUCAAAACGUAGCCAUGGCUGUCCUCUUUCAUCCAAUGUGUUUACUAUUGUCCUAGGUGUUAUGGUUCUUUCAUAAAUGUCACCAAUGCACAGCCUCCUCCCUCCAACUCUUCCAUAGACUCUAAUGUUAAAAUGGCUCAGAAG
Molecule: long non-coding RNA, 2196 nt
Organism: Astatotilapia calliptera (eastern happy)
Lineage: Eukaryota; Metazoa; Chordata; Actinopteri; Cichliformes; Cichlidae
Source: Ensembl